GCCCCCAUAGCUCAGGGGAUAGAGCAUCGCCCUCCGGAGGCGGGAGCGCAGGUUCGAAUCCUGCUGGGGGCG
This 72-nucleotide transfer RNA is filed under the name Aquiluna sp. Its description in RNAcentral is "tRNA-Arg". It matches the Rfam family "tRNA". From Rfam's summary of the family: Transfer RNA (tRNA) molecules are approximately 80 nucleotides in length. Their secondary structure includes four short double-helical elements and three loops (D, anti-codon, and T loops). Further hydrogen bonds mediate the characteristic L-shaped molecular structure. tRNAs have two regions of fundamental functional importance: the anti-codon, which is responsible for specific mRNA codon recognition, and the 3' end, to which the tRNAs corresponding amino acid is attached (by aminoacyl-tRNA synthetases). tRNAs cope with the degeneracy of the genetic code in two manners: having more than one tRNA (with a specific anti-codon) for a particular amino acid; and 'wobble' base-pairing, i.e. permitting non-standard base-pairing at the 3rd anti-codon position. The record is from RNAcentral. Lineage: Bacteria; Bacillati; Actinomycetota; Actinomycetes; Micrococcales; Microbacteriaceae. RNAcentral also lists the same sequence under 1 other name.